GACGAACGCUGGCGGCAUGCUUAACACAUGCAAGUCGAACGAGAAUCUGUGGAUCGAGGAUUCGUCCAAGAGAAGCAGAGGACAGUGGCGGACGGGUGAGUAACGCGUGAGGAACCUGCCUUUCAGAGGGGGGACAACAGUUGGAAACGACUGCUAAUACCGCAUAACGCGUAGAGGUCGCAUGGCCUUUACGCCAAAGAUUUAUCGCUGAAAGAUGGCCUCGCGUCUGAUUAGCUAGUUGGUGAGGUAACGGCCCACCAAGGCGACGAUCAGUAGCCGGACUGAGAGGUUGAACGGCCACAUUGGGACUGAGAUACGGCCCAGACUCCUACGGGAGGCAGCAGUGGGGAAUAUUGGGCAAUGGCGCAAGCCUGACCCAGCAAUGCCGCGUGAAGGAAGAAGGCUUUCGGGUUGUAAACUCUUUUGUCAGGGACGAGUAGAAGACGGUACCUGACGAAUAAGCCACGGCUAACUACGUG
This 479-nucleotide ribosomal RNA is filed under the name uncultured bacterium. Its description in RNAcentral is "bacterial SSU rRNA". It matches the Rfam family "Bacterial small subunit ribosomal RNA", at positions 28 to 507 of the family's 1533-position model. The record is from RNAcentral.